GUGGCCUAGUGGUUAGAGUGUCCGCCUCAGAUGCAGGAGGUCGUGGGUUCGAUCCCUUGUCAAGUCA
Molecule: non-coding RNA, 67 nt
Organism: Potamilus streckersoni
Lineage: Eukaryota; Metazoa; Mollusca; Bivalvia; Unionida; Unionidae
Source: the annotation of a GenBank genome assembly